RNAcentral lists this ribosomal RNA (208 nucleotides) under uncultured Acetomicrobium sp. RNAcentral's name for it is "partial 16S ribosomal RNA". It matches the Rfam family "Bacterial small subunit ribosomal RNA", at positions 568 to 775 of the family's 1533-position model. The record is from RNAcentral. Lineage: Bacteria; Thermotogati; Synergistota; Synergistia; Synergistales; Acetomicrobiaceae.
CAUGCAGGCGGUGCACCAAGUCGGGGGUGUAAAGUUACGGCUCAACCGUGACCUUGCAAUCGAAACUGGCGCACUGGAGUGCGGGAGAGGGAAGUGGAAUUCCCGGUGUAGCGGUGAAAUGCGUAGAUAUCGGGAGGAACGCCAGUGGCGAAGGCGGCUUCCUGGCCCGCGACUGACGCUCAUGUGCGAAAGCCAGGGGAGCGAACCG